This 2097-nucleotide long non-coding RNA is filed under the name Agrilus planipennis (emerald ash borer). RNAcentral's name for it is "uncharacterized LOC112906426". Lineage: Eukaryota; Metazoa; Arthropoda; Insecta; Coleoptera; Buprestidae. The record is from RNAcentral.
CCCUACUAUUUUGUGUGAUCCUGCCAAGGCCGGACUGGUCUGCGUUAUUUCAACCCAUAAUAAAAGCGCAAUUUUUAAUAACACACGAAUCGUAAGUUAAUUUUACCUGUAAAAAAUAUGUAAUUUUCUUGACGCACAACAUAGGUGUCAAACCAACUCAUACGAAUUGUAUUUAAUUUAUACACAUUAUGUGGGUUAUUGAACGCAUAUGAUCCGCGUUUCAUAUCCGUCAAAUACUUCAAUUGUUCUGUGCAACCGGAAUGAUUUCAGUCAAAAUGAUUUAAGUGAUGGAGAAACAGUUGAAUUGAAUUUAAAUGUUCUUUAUAGUGAACCAGAGACGGUUGUAUCCAACGAAAAUUUCAAAAUACAAGAAUAUAUGGAAUGUGAAGCUGAUAUAAAUACUAAGAAAGACGAAAACAAUAAAGUGGAUACUCUUGCAAUUCCUGGAUGUAGAAGUUCACUCACGAAGGCUUCAUUACAACCCCAACAUCGUCAGUUAAACGUGAAGAAAACUAAAGAAAUACCAAGUAAACUUACGGGACACUAAUCGAAAGUGGGUCCGCAUUACUCAGGCAUACAAUAGAAGUCUGACGGAAAAUUAUACAGAUGACAACGAGCGACCGAAAGAAAAAUUAUUCAAACCAUUUAUACAACAAGAAUUGGAUCUAUUUUUUGAUGUUCUUAUUAUUUACAUGGAGCAUAUUUCACAAUUGGUCUCAAAUGACAGACUUGUGUAGAAAGUUUCCAAAACCCUUAAGUUUUCAAUUGUGCCGUAAAAAUAUAGAACAGAGAUCAAACAAUUCUAUGCUGCCAUCAAAAUUAAUUAUUACAUCUGCAAUGCAAAACGUGCUUGUUAGUGAAGUAAGGCUUUCCAUUUCUUCUGGAUUUACGACUUCUACAAUUCGUAGACGAGAUUCUACAGUUCGUAGAUGAGAUGUGCCAAGAUGGCACUUGCAAUCGUUGGUAUCGUAUUCAUCUAAAGGGAAUUCAAACGAAAGUAAAAGAAAACGUGAAAAAUCUGCACCAACUGCAGACGACCACUUUGUGAUGAACAUGCAGUUACUCGUCCAAAAUGUAUCACCUCCUUCCAGAGGUCUACUAUAAUCUGUAUAACAUAAAAUUUGUAUUCUUUGUAUUAAUGAAACAUUUUGAUAUGUGUAUGCAAUAUCACUUUUUGAAAUCCGAAUUUUUAUCAGGCACACCGAUCUUGAAACUUCAACGUACCACAACUAACUUAAACAAACUGUUUUAACCAAUUUAAAUACAUUUUCCUUAUUCAUAAUUUUUAUUCCUGAUUCUGCAAAGUCACAGUUCUACCUAGCCAGCCAUUUUCAGCAGCUCCGCACUCUUGGAGGGAUUUUCGAUUUUCAUCCGCUGCUUCCCCUUCCGACGCCAGUUCCUACCAAACCGACCCAAUGUCAAAUCCUAACUUGUCCAAGGCCAUUUCCGACAGCUCCGUUAAACGGCAGCAACCGUUCCUGUCGUCGUCCGAACCCUCCUCCUCUGAAAACGAAUCGGACUUAGAACCUUCCAAUCUAAGUCAAAAAUCUCCCCCCUCAAAUCGUCAUACGUCAUACGUCAAAAGUCCCUUUGGCUGAAAAUUCUUCGUGCCAUGGACAUUAGCGCCCGUAGGUCAAUUAAUACUCAAGACUCAAUUCGUGUCUACCCCAGCUCCAUCGACAAUUUUCGUCGUCUAUCCUCUUUCCUGGACGAAUCCAAAGUCCAAUUCUCUACAAACCAUCUACAACUCAACGACAAAGGCUUUAUUAUCAAAGGCAUCCAUCGGAUGUGCAAAGAUAACAAAAUGUAGCCCUUUGUCACCGUCUGACUUGAUAAGACCGCUUCAAAUUCCAGUGGACCUUGCCGAAUUUCACGAGCGUACCAAAGUAGUCUCCCACAACUUCGUUCCCCUGUAUUCCAACUUCAAACACACGUCCCCACGCGAAAUAUUCCUCACCAUCCGAUCUCUAAAAUACAGAAAUGCCCCUGGCGCUGACGGAAUUCCUUACAGUCCUGCCGUCAAAGCACAUAGCCGCUCUGUGCAACAUAUAAAACGCCAUCAUGCGGCUCCACCACUUCCCUUUGGUAUGAAAAGAA